GACGAACGCUGGCGGCGUGCUUAACACAUGCAAGUCGAACGGUGAAGCUCCAGCUUGCUGGAGUGGAUCAGUGGCGAACGGGUGAGUAACACGUGAGCAACCUGCCCCUGACUCUGGUAUAAGCUCUGGAAACGGCGUCUAAUACUGUAUACGAUAAGUUUCCGCAUGGGCACUUUCUGUAAAGUUUUUCGGUUGGGGAUGGGCUCGCGGCCUAUCAGCUUGUUUGUGAGGUAAUGGCUCACCAAGGCGACGACGGGUAGCCGGCCUGAGAGGGCGACCGGCCACAAUGGGACUGAGACACGGCCCAGACUCCUACGGGAGGCAGCAGUGGGGAAUAUUGCACAAUGGGCGAAAGCCUGAUGCAGCGACGCCGCGUGAGGGAUGACGGCCUUCGGGUUGUAAACCUCUUUCAGCAGGGAAGAAGCGAAAGUGACGGUACCUGCAGAAGAAGCACCGGCUAACUACGUG
This 468-nucleotide ribosomal RNA is filed under the name uncultured bacterium. RNAcentral describes it as "partial 16S ribosomal RNA". It matches the Rfam family "Bacterial small subunit ribosomal RNA", at positions 28 to 507 of the family's 1533-position model. The record is from RNAcentral.